RNAcentral lists this ribosomal RNA (468 nucleotides) under uncultured bacterium. Its description in RNAcentral is "partial 16S ribosomal RNA". It matches the Rfam family "Bacterial small subunit ribosomal RNA", at positions 28 to 507 of the family's 1533-position model. The record is from RNAcentral.
GACGAACGCUGGCGGCGUGUUUAACACAUGCAAGUCGAACGGAAAGGCCCUGCUUUUGUGGGGUGCUCGAGUGGCGAACGGGUGAGUAACACGUGAGUAACCUGCCCUUGACUUUGGGAUAACUUCAGGAAACUGGGGCUAAUACCGGAUAGGAGCUCCUGCUGCAUGGUGGGGGUUGGAAAGUUUCGGCGGUUUGGGAUGGACUCGCGGCUUAUCAGCUUGUUGGUGGGGUAGUGGCUUACCAAGGCUUUGACGGGUAGCCGGCCUGAGAGGGUGACCGGCCACAUUGGGACUGAGAUACGGCCCAGACUCCUACGGGAGGCAGCAGUGGGGAAUAUUGCACAAUGGGCGGAAGCCUGAUGCAGCAACGCCGCGUGCGGGAUGACGGCCUUCGGGUUGUAAACCGCUUUCGCCUGUGACGAAGCGUGAGUGACGGUAAUGGGUAAAGAAGCACCGGCUAACUACGUG